RNAcentral lists this unclassified non-coding RNA (252 nucleotides) under uncultured Solirubrobacterales bacterium. RNAcentral's name for it is "contains 16S-23S intergenic spacer region". It matches the Rfam family "Bacterial small subunit ribosomal RNA", at positions 524 to 776 of the family's 1533-position model. The record is from RNAcentral. Lineage: Bacteria; Bacillati; Actinomycetota; Thermoleophilia; Solirubrobacterales.
UACAUAGGGGCGAGCGUUAUCCGGAAUCAUUGGGCGUAAAGCGCGCGUAGGCGGCCCGGUAAGUCCGCUGUGAAAGUCAAAGGCUCAACCUUUGAAUGCCGGUGGAUACUGCCGGGCUAGAGUCCGGAAGAGGCGAGUGGAAUUCCUGGUGUAGCGGUGGAAUGCGCAGAUAUCAGGAGGAACACCGAUAGCGAAGGCAGCUCGCUGGGACGGUACUGACGCUAAGGCGCGAAAGCGUGGGGAGCGAACAGG